GCGAGUUGCAAAGAGAACACAGCAAGCAAUAUGGCUUCUAUGCCUGGAAUUCUCACUGACUGGCCAUGGAAGCCUCUCGGAAGCUUUAAGUAUGCGAUAUUGGCUCCCUGGGUCAUUCAAAACAUAUACUCGUACGUGGUUAGAGCAGAAAAUGAUUUGUCAAGCUUUCUCAUCUUCCCAUUUAUACUGGGGAGAAUGAUCCACAACCAGUUAUGGAUCAGCCUCUCCCGCUACCGGACAGCCAAAGGGAGUAACAGGAUUGUCGACAAAGGCAUUGAAUUCGACCAAGUAGAUAGAGAAAGAAACUGGGAUGAUCAAAUACUGUUCAAUGGGAUCGUUUUUUACGUCGGUACCAUGGUAAUUCCGGGGGCCACCCAUUUGCCUAUGUGGAGAAGCGAUGGCAUAAUACUGACGAUGUUGCUUCAUGCGGGGCCGGUGGAGUUUCUUUACUACUGGUUUCACCGACUUCUGCAUCACCACUAUCUCUACUCCCGCUACCAUUCCCACCACCAUACCUCCAUCGUCACCGAGCCCAUUACCUCCGUGAUUCACCCAUUUGCGGAACACAUAGCAUACUUCAUGUUAUUUGCGAUUCCAAUUUUGACAACGUUGUUUAAUGGAACGGCAAGCGCUGCAAGUUUAACCGGUUACGUUGCUUUCAUCGACUUCAUGAACAAUAUGGGCCACUGCAACUUCGAGCUCAUUCCCAAAUGGCUCUUUUCCAUUUUUCCUCCUCUCAAGUACCUCAUGUACACCCCAUCGUUCCAUUCUCUUCACCACACUCAGUUCCGAACCAAUUACUCGCUAUUCAUGCCUAUCUACGAUUACAUCUAUGGUACAGUGGACAAAUCUUCUGAUACCCUUUAUGAAUAUUCACUCAAAAGAAAAGAGGAAUUCCCUGAUGUCGUCCACCUAACCCAUAUUACCACUCCCCAGUCCAUCUAUCACCUACGUCUGGGAUUUCCCUACUUGGCCUCCAGCCCCGAGACAUCCAAAUGGUACCUCUGCUUAAUGUGGCCUAUCACCCUGUGGACCAUGAUGUUGACUUGGAUUUAUGGUCGUACAUUUGUAGUUGAGAGGCAUCGCUUUGACAAACUCAGAUUACAAACUUGGGCCAUACCCAAAUACAAUAUCCAGUAUUUCAUGCAAGGGCAAAAUCAAUCCAUUAAUCACAUGAUUGAAGAAGCCAUACUUGAAGCUGAGCAUAAAGGCGUUAAAGUGUUGAGUCUUGGUCUCUUGAAUCAGGGGGAAAAGCUGAAUAGAUAUGGCGAGCUUUAUGUGCAUAGGCAUCCUACGCUGCAAACAAAGGUGGUGGAUGGAAGUAGUCUAGCAGUAGCUGUUGUGCUUAAUAGCAUACCUAAAGGAACUACCCAAGUUCUCCUUAGGGGAAGGCCCAAUAAGGUUGCCUGUGCUAUUGCCUUGGCCCUGAGCCAGAGGGGAACCCAGGUAGCAACUAUCCUCCAGGACGAUUAUGAGAAGCUUAAGGCAUCAUUUGGCAGCGAGCCUCCCAAUAAUCUAGUUCUUUUAAAAAAUUAUACUUUGAAGGUAUGUAUAAUUAUUCUAGCUACUAGGGCAUGGUAGUAUAAUAGAAAAAGAAAUAAGGUUGAAUGAAUUUGUGUAGACGUGGCUAGUGGACGAUGGAUUGAGUGAAGAGGAGCAAAAGAAAGCAACAGAAGGAACUGUAUUUAUUCCUUUGUCCCAACUUCCACCAAAGAAAAUGAGAAAGGACUGCUUUUACCAUAGCACACCGGCAAUGGUAGCUCCCACGUCUCUUGAAAAUGUGGACUCUUGUGAGGUAGGUAAAGAUUUUAAUUUUAUGUGGCUGCUUGCUUUUCCAUUUGAUAGACAAAAAGUAAUUAUUGUGUAUUUAUGAUGUUAAAAAAAAAAUGGUCAGAAUUGGCUGCCUAGAAGGGUGAUGAGUGCAUGGCGAGCGGCUGGAAUAGUGCAUGCCUUAGAAGGAUGGAAUGUGCACGAGUGCGGUUACUCCAUGUUCAACGUUGACAAAGUUUGGGAAGCAGCUCUUCAACAUGGCUUUAAACCUCUAACUGCCGCCACUACUAUUCACUCUAAUUAAAUUCUAGUUUAUAAAUUUGCUGCUACUGCGCUGUAUCUUUUUUCACUGUUAUUAUCGUUUUGCAAAAAUUAAAAACUGUUAUUAUCAUUUUGAAAACGUAAGCUGUCCGAAUCAGCGAUUUGUGUCCGUACUGAAAUAAGAAGUUAAUUGGCUAUUAACGCGAGACGGUUGAGUGAGAUU
Molecule: unclassified non-coding RNA, 2254 nt
Filed under: Hevea brasiliensis (rubber tree)
Lineage: Eukaryota; Viridiplantae; Streptophyta; Magnoliopsida; Malpighiales; Euphorbiaceae
Source: RNAcentral